Molecule: small nucleolar RNA, 138 nt
Organism: Ornithorhynchus anatinus (platypus)
Lineage: Eukaryota; Metazoa; Chordata; Mammalia; Monotremata; Ornithorhynchidae
Source: RefSeq, a predicted model, not a curated record
CCCCUCUCAGGAUCACCUCUGGAGAGUUUUCAGUAUUCUACCAGUGACGGCUAUGGGAAGGAGAGUCAAGCAGAAGCAAACCCAUUCCAUUCCUAGCUCGGGCAGCGGCUAGGGAAUGGAAGGCAAACUGCUAUAAGU